RNAcentral lists this ribosomal RNA (843 nucleotides) under uncultured bacterium. Its description in RNAcentral is "bacterial SSU rRNA". It matches the Rfam family "Bacterial small subunit ribosomal RNA", at positions 51 to 889 of the family's 1533-position model. The record is from RNAcentral.
ACACAUGCAAGUCGAGGGGCAGCGAGGGAGUGGCAACACUUCUGUCGGCGACCGGCGCACGGGUGAGUAACGCGUAUGCAACCUGCCCUUCACAGGGGGAUAACCGGGAGAAAUUCCGACUAAUACCGCAUACGUCCCCUGGGGGCAUCCCCUGGGGAUGAAAGAAUUAUCGGUGAAGGAUGGGCAUGCGUGAUAUUAGGUAGUUGGCGGGGCAACGGCCCACCAAGCCCACGAUAUCUAGGGGUUCUGAGAGGAAGGUCCCCCACAUUGGUACUGAGACACGGACCAAACUCCUACGGGAGGCAGCAGUGAGGAAUAUUGGUCAAUGGACGAGAGUCUGAACCAGCCAAGUCGCGUGAAGGAAGACGGAUCUAUGGUUUGUAAACUUCUUUAGUGCGGGAACAAAGCGGCGUCGUGACGCCUGAUGAGUGUACCGCAAGAAUAAGCAUCGGCUAACUCCGUGCCAGCAGCCGCGGUAAUACGGAGGAUGCGAGCGUUAUCCGGAUUUAUUGGGUUUAAAGGGAGCGCAGGCUGCGAGGCAAGUCAGCGGUCAAAUGUCGGGGCUCAACCCCGGCCUGCCGUUGAAACUGUCCUGCUAGAGUUCGAGUGAGGUAUGCGGAAUGCGUCGUGUAGCGGUGAAAUGCAUAGAUAUGACGCAGAACUCCGAUUGCGAAGGCAGCAUACCAACUCGCGACUGACGCUGAGGCUCGAAAGCGUGGGUAUCGAACAGGAUUAGAUACCCUGGUAGUCCACGCAGUAAACGAUGAAUACUAACUGUUCGGAGGGCGACCUCUGAGUGGUAAAGCGAAAGCGUUAAGUAUUCCACCUGGGGAGUACGCCGGC